AUGGCAUCUGAGAGGCUGAGGAAAAACAGCAUUGCUAGUCUGCUGUCUGAUGAUGGUGUUACUGUUCAUGAUCAUGACCAAAUGGCGGGAGUUCUUUGGCACUCUUUCAAAUCAAGGAUGGGCCAGUCCAGGGGGAUCCGGAUGGGCUUUUGCUUGGCUGAUCUUAUUCAGCCCAUAGAUGGCCUGCAUGAUCUGUCGAGGCCCUUUUCUCAAGCUGAAAUUGAUAAGGUCCUGAAGGAAAUGCCUACGGACAGGGCCCCUGGGCCUGAUGGGUUCAAUGGUUUUUUUGUUAAGAAAUGCUGGCCUGUUAUUCAGAAGGAUUUUUUGAAUCUGAUUGAGCAAUUUGCUGCUGGCUCGCUGAGCCUGGAAGGCAUUAAUGGCUCCUUGAUAACUCUUAUACCUAAAAUUAUUGCUCCUCAGGGUCCAGGGGAUUUCAGGCCUAUCUCCUUGACCAACACAUGUCUCAAGUUCUUAACUAAGUUGCUUGCUAAUAGGCCGCAGUUAGUGAUUCUUAAAUGUAUCCACAAAAACCAGUAUGGGUUUCUGAAAUCAAGGUCCAUUCAAGACUGUCUGGCAUGGGCCUUUGAGUACAUUCAUCAGUGCAAGCAAUCUCGGCGGCCUAUACUAAUUUUGACGCUGGAUUUUGCCAAGGCUUUUGACACGAUCGAGCAUGAAGCAAUAUUGUUAAUCCUGCAGCAGAAGGGCUUUGAUGUCAAAUGGCUAGCUUGGGUUAAGGAAAUCUUAUCUUCUGGUUCUUCUUCGGUUUUGUUAAAUGCUCUCAAGGAAAUGUUGGAUGUUUUCUAUGCCUCAACUGGCCUCAAAGUGAAUUUCCAGAAAUCCACAAUGGUGCCCCUUAACAUUGACAAUGAGGAGGCCAUUAGGCUUGCGGCUGUGUUUGGAUGCUCUUUGGGGACGCUUCCUUUCACUUACCCAGGUCUCCCCAUGGGAACUUCUAAGCCAAGGAUUAUUGAUCUUUUGCCUUUGGUUGAUAGGAUGGAAAGAAGGCUUACUGCUAGCUCUGCCAUGCUGAAUCAAGGCUCCCGGCUUCAGUUGCUGACCUCUGUGUUGUCCUCUGUGCCCAUUUAUUUCCUUUGUUCAUUGGACAUUCCAAUUGGCAUUAUUAAGCAACUGGAACGAAUUCACCGACAAUGCCUCUGGCGUGGCAAUUCAGACACACCCAAACAGUCACUUGCAGCAUGGGAGUUGGUUUGCAGGCCCAAGGAUAAAGGUGGUCUUGGCAUAAUUAACUUGCACCUUCAGAACCAAGGCUUACUCAUUAAGCAUCUUCAUAAGUUUUUCAAUAAGGAUGACAUCCCUUGGGUCUCUCUUAUCUGGAACUCUUAUUAUGAUGGUGUUGUACCCCAGGCCACGGUGUUGUGUGGCUCUUUCUGGUGGAGGGACGUUUUCAAGCUGGCUGAUUCUUACAGAGCAAUCUCUACAGCCACUGUGAAUCAGGGAGAUUCUAUUUUGUUCUGGUCUGACAGUUGGAUACUACACAAUUCAAACAGACCACUUCGGGACCAGCUGCCUCACUUAUUCUCCUUUGUCAAGGAUGACAAGAUCUCUGCCAUGAAUUUCCUGGAUUCUGAGGAUGUGACAUCAAUGUUUCAUUUGCCAAUCUCGAGCGCAGCAGCUUCAGAACUUGAUCACCUCCUUCUUUGGGUCACUAUGUUGCAAAGAGAUGCUACUGCUCCUGAUGUGUGGUCUUGGCCUUCAAAGACUGGUUACUCUUCUAAGAGCUUUUACACCAUAAUGCACACACACCUUCCGACAAUUACGCCUUGUGUUUGGCUUUGGAGAAGUUCAUGCACGAUGAAAAUGAAGGUUUUUGGUUGGUUGCUCUUUUUUGAUCGCCUAAACACUCGAGACCUCCUUCUCAGGAGACAUUGGAGGACUGAUCAAGAGGAUAAUCUUUGUGUACUUUGUCAUGCCCGUAUGCAUGAGGAUAGGUUCCAUCUCUUCUUCAACUGCAAUUUCAGUCAACGGGUCUGGUCUUAUCUCCAGAUUGAUUGGUUGGGCAGACAGGAUGUGACCUCCUGCCUUUUGCACACCAAGAAGAAUUUUCAUCAACCAUUCUUCUUUGAGGUUAUGCUCACUGCGGCCUGGUGCAUUUGGACUACUAGGAAUGGGAAGAUCUUCAAAUCAGAGAGGGCCUCGUUUGGCAUGUGGAGGGGUAAAUUUGUUCAUGAUAUCAACUUGUUGUACCAUAGAGUGAGGGAGAGUGUUAAACCUGCUUUCUUAGCUUGGAUUAAUAAUCUUCCUUAG
This 2265-nucleotide ribosomal RNA is filed under the name Triticum aestivum (bread wheat). RNAcentral describes it as "partial small subunit ribosomal RNA". The record is from RNAcentral. Lineage: Eukaryota; Viridiplantae; Streptophyta; Magnoliopsida; Poales; Poaceae.